GACAGUAGAAAUCAAAAGCACAAACUGCCUGAUUUCUUGCCUGUCACACUGCUGUCUUUUCCUGUGGAACUAAUGUCUGUGUGACCAUAUGAGAGAAAUGCAGAAACAGAGAAAGAAAGUAAACCAAAGGACUUCUGCAGAGAAGAAACUCUUCUACAGUGAUCCAGGCCCAAAACCUUGAGGGCUACUCUACAGCCAUCAUUUGCUUCUACUCACUGUACACACACAAAGUGACUUUUCAGCUAAUGGGAAUGAGGAAGUAGAUGGAGCUGAAAAGCCCAAGUUCAAUUAUCUAGCCAGAUCAGUAAUUAAACUAUGGACACAGGUAAUUUCAACUGCCAACACUGUAUUCAAUAUGAAAAGGUUAAUCUAAAGUUUAAGUGUGGGGAAAUCACCUUUAAAGGAAUUAUAGGCAGCUGGAUUUGGUAUUUUGGGCACGUCUCAUGUUAAUUGCAUUUCCUUGAAAUACCAAAACUAAAUGCACACAGAAUACUGAAAACAGUGAAUAUUUUCAGAUGAUUUGGUGUAGGAAAGGCAGCUGAAUCCAUAUUCUGCUUUUACAGGAAAAAAAGCCUCUGUAUGGCAAUGAGUUAGGCUGCACACAUAAAGAACCUUUCUGACUUCGAACUCUUGGUUGUGGCAGCUUCCUCUUAUCUCAUUCUUCAUAUCUUUGAGACUUUUUUUUACAGGGUGUUUUUGUCUUGCCUUUUCUAGGAACUCUGAAUUUCUUCCACAGUGUAGUCACAACAUGAUGUGGAGAAGCAGACUCUGUUCUCCAUUCCUGCCUGGAUAUGCUGUUUAAACAUCACCCUCUACAACCCAAAAGAAAUUGUGUGCUCUAUCAAGGUACUCACUAGAAAAAUAUUGGUGAACCUGAAUGGACAAAUGCCAAGUGAUAAUCUGUAAGCAGACAAAAAGCCCAGAAUUCACCAUUGUGCCAUUUGGUAGGGCCAAACUUGGGCAAGGCUGGCUAUGAUCUGGAAGCUGCAUGUUUACAGGACGGUAUUGUGAACGUGCUGGUCAUGUAUUGAAAACUCAAUUUCAUCACAACUGAAGUGAUAAUAAAGAAAUGUCCAAGAAAAUGUGCAAAGCAGCCAUGUGGCAUGAAGAGUGUAAUGCUUACUUUGAGAUUAAAUGGACAACAAAAACCUCCAUGAAAGAUGUCAUUAAGAAUCCCAUGUUAAGCUACUGCAAGCACGAAUGUUGUCUGAAUCAGUUAUCACCAUCCACAACAGUGCAGCCCUGCACACAAGUGUUCCGCCCAGUGCUAUUUUGAAAAUCUAGAAAGAUAUGAUCUACAGCAUUUGGGAGCAUGUCAAAAUUCAUGAGGUUUUCCGAGAAAUAUUUUGGCAUUGAUGCCUUGAUCCUAUGGAUCUCAACCAGUUACUUCCACUGAAAUGAAUGAUAUCAAAAGAAACAAUUCCUUCUAUAAGACCCUCUCCAUUUUAGUGAGGACACGCUGA
Pezoporus flaviventris is the source of this 1463-nucleotide long non-coding RNA. RefSeq lists it as uncharacterized. Lineage: Eukaryota; Metazoa; Chordata; Aves; Psittaciformes; Psittacidae. The transcript is spliced from 3 exons. The record is from RefSeq and is a predicted model, not a curated record.